Papaver somniferum (opium poppy) is the source of this 487-nucleotide long non-coding RNA. RefSeq lists it as uncharacterized. The transcript is spliced from 3 exons. The record is from RefSeq and is a predicted model, not a curated record. NCBI's taxonomy places the organism in Eukaryota, Viridiplantae, Streptophyta, Magnoliopsida, Ranunculales, Papaveraceae.
CCCGAAAAUGGAGUUGUCGCAUCAAGAUCGUAUCUCAAUUUCCCAGAAAUUAAUGUUGGUUGUUGGUCAUGAUAAAACACUUUGUUAAUCAAAUAGAUUAUCAUGGUGGAGGGCUUGCAGAAGUUUUUUGGUCAGAUACUAAUUAUCUUUUAUGCGGCGGUGGUGGUCGAGGUGGUUAUGGUGAUACUGGGGACAUCAUGCUACAAACAACAUCAAAGAUGGAGGAUGUGGGUAGGAAAGACAUCAACAACAGGGAUGCCCUUUGCAGUGUGUACUAUAGAAUCUGUAUACACUUUGCUGCCAAGCUCAUGUACUAAGAAGCAACUGUGCAAACAUUGAUAUAGAAGGUCACGAAAAUAUCCAUGUAGUCACAAAAUGUUGAAUUCAGUUACUUUGAAUUGCAACACUUAAUUGAAAGAGCUUAAUCAGUUAUGUAGCAUUCUUGAUGCCAAUACCUUUGUAUUUUUGAAAGAGAAGAUUAUAUUGA